This 543-nucleotide ribosomal RNA is filed under the name uncultured Cylindrocladiella. Its description in RNAcentral is "SSU rRNA". It matches the Rfam family "Eukaryotic small subunit ribosomal RNA", at positions 549 to 1098 of the family's 1831-position model. Lineage: Eukaryota; Fungi; Ascomycota; Sordariomycetes; Hypocreales. The record is from RNAcentral. RNAcentral also lists the same sequence under 1 other name.
UGGAGGGCAAGUCUGGUGCCAGCAGCCGCGGUAAUUCCAGCUCCAAUAGCGUAUAUUAAAGUUGUUGCAGUUAAAAAGCUCGUAGUUGAACCUUGGGCCUGGCUGGCCGGUCCGCCUCACCGCGUGCACUGGUUCGGCCGGGCCUUUCCCUCUGGGGAAUCCCAUGCCCUUCACUGGGUGUGGCGAGGAACCAGGACUUUUACUGUGAAAAAAUUAGAGUGUUCAAAGCAGGCCUAUGCUCGAAUACAUUAGCAUGGAAUAAUAGAAUAGGACGUGUGGUUCUAUUUUGUUGGUUUCUAGGACCACCGUAAUGAUUAAUAGGGACAGUCGGGGGCAUCAGUAUUCAAUUGUCAGAGGUGAAAUUCUUGGAUUUAUUGAAGACUAACUACUGCGAAAGCAUUUGCCAAGGAUGUUUUCAUUAAUCAGGAACGAAAGUUAGGGGAUCGAAGACGAUCAGAUACCGUCGUAGUCUUAACCAUAAACUAUGCCGACUAGGGAUCGGACGAUGUUAUUUUUUGACUCGUUCGGCACCUUACGGGAAAC